GAUGAACGCUGACCGAAUGCUUAACACAUGCAAGUCUUUGGCGAAGCUGUGCUUGCACCGCCUAGCCAAGGCGGACGGGUGAGUAACGCGUAAGGAACUUGCCCUGCAGUCAGGGAUAACAGACGGAAACGACUGAUAAGACCUGGUAAAGUCAGGCGGACUCAUGUCCAGCCUGAUGAAAAGAGAUGCUGCAGGAGAGCCUUGCGUCCUAUUAGCUUGUUGGUGGGGUAACGGCCCACCAAGGCGAUGAUAGGUAGCCGGCCUGAGAGGGUGGACGGCCACAAGGGGACUGAGAUACGGCCCUUACUCCUACGGGAGGCAGCAGUGGGGAAUAUUGGACAAUGGGGGCAACCCUGAUCCAGCAAUUCUGUGUGCACGAUGAAGGUUUUCGGAUUGUAAAGUGCUUUCAGCAGGGAAGAAAAAAUGACGGUACCUGCAGAAGAAGCGACGGCUAAAUACGUG
This 462-nucleotide ribosomal RNA is filed under the name uncultured bacterium. RNAcentral describes it as "partial 16S ribosomal RNA". It matches the Rfam family "Bacterial small subunit ribosomal RNA", at positions 28 to 507 of the family's 1533-position model. The record is from RNAcentral.